CCCUAGAUGUUCUGGGCCGCACGCGUGCUACACUGAACGGUUCAAUGGGUAAGGUAGUGCGAAAGCAUGACCUAAUCUCGAAAUCCGUUCGUGCUGGGGAUAGAAGCUUGCAAUUAUCCUUCUUGAACGAGGAAUACCUUGUAAGCGUGAGUCAUCAUCUCACGCUGAAUACGUCCCUGCCCUUUGUACACACCGCCCGUCGCUCCUACCGAUUGAGUGUUCCGGUGAGGCUUUGGGAGAAUGGCCUCAACAUGAGUUUAUCGUGUUUUGCCGUUUGAACUUAGUCAAACCUUAUCACUUAGAGGAAGGAGAAGUCGUAACA
RNAcentral lists this ribosomal RNA (322 nucleotides) under uncultured eukaryote. RNAcentral describes it as "partial 18S ribosomal RNA". It matches the Rfam family "Eukaryotic small subunit ribosomal RNA", at positions 1471 to 1796 of the family's 1831-position model. The record is from RNAcentral.